GUGUCUGACUUCCAGCAACUGCUGGCCUGUGCCAGGGUGCAAGCUGAGUUGGAGGAAAGAUGAGUGAGAGCAUCAACUUCUCUCACAACCUAGGCCAGUGUGUGGUGAUGCCAGGCAUGCCCUUCCCCAGCAUCAGGUCUCCAGAGCUGCAGAAGACGACGGCCGACUUGGAUCACACUCUUCUCAGAGCCCAGGCCAGGGGCCCCCAAGAAAGGCUCUGGUGGAGAACCUGUGCAUGAAGGCUGUCAACCAGUCCAUAGGCAGGGCCAUCAGGCACCAAAGGGAUUCUGCCAGCAUAGUGCUCCUGGACCAGUGAUACACCCGGCACCCUGUCCUGGACACGCUGUUGGCCUGGAUCUGAGCCCUGGUGGAGGUCAAAGCCACCUUUGGUUCUGCCAUUGCUGCUGUGUGGAAUUUCACCAGAAGUAGGCCUCUUCCUGACAGGCAGCUGCACCACUGCCUGGCGCUGUGCCCUUCCUUUGCUCUGCCCGCUGGAGACGGUGUUUGUCAUGGGCCUGGUCUGCAGGGAUCCUGCUACAAAGGUGAAACCCAGGAGAGUGUGGAGUCCAGAGUGUUGCCAGGACCCAGGCACAGGCAUUAGUGCCCGUUGGAGAAAACAGGGGAAUCCCGAA
Molecule: long non-coding RNA, 632 nt
Filed under: Homo sapiens (human)
Lineage: Eukaryota; Metazoa; Chordata; Mammalia; Primates; Hominidae
Description: non-protein coding lnc-OR4F5-4:5
Source: RNAcentral